This is a long non-coding RNA of Lycium barbarum (goji berry), 423 nucleotides long. RefSeq lists it as uncharacterized. Lineage: Eukaryota; Viridiplantae; Streptophyta; Magnoliopsida; Solanales; Solanaceae. The transcript has 2 exons. The record is from RefSeq and is a predicted model, not a curated record.
CUAGCGCCGCCUGCAAUUCUUUUUCUCUCUCUCUCAUCUAGAAAUGGAAAGUUACAGUGCGUGUGUAAGACAUGCAGUUUUGCAGUGGCAUUUUUGUGUAAAGCAAUUAAUGUUAAGGUCGUAUUUACUCGAAUCUUGCCCGAAUAGAUGCUGUCGUUGAGAACGAGGCUAGUAAUUAAAGACUUCGUGAGUGGAUUCUGUUGCUGAGGUGAGCCACCGCAUUGUUCGUGGAGGCAGCCAUUUCAGCUUUAUCUGGUUUAUUUCUAGUUAUUUCUUUUAUUUUGGGUUUACAUGCCCGACACUCAAACUCAUGUAACUCUGUUAGAUGCUCCAUGGUCUUAGCGUGGGAUGUGGGCUAGAGAUUCUUUUUAUCUUAGCGUUGGUUGAUUUUCAUAAAUCGAUUAUGGAUUUGGUUGGCGACUA